UUGAAGGCGUAGUCGGAGGCUGCUCCCGCAACUGUAGGCGGUAUGCUUCUGGUUUGGUCGCGUAGAACGUGCGCCACUGUUUUCAUCAGGAAACGGGAAGGUUGAAUCAGCAAGCCAUAAUCCGCGAGCCAGGAGACCUGCCAUCGUCCAGCCACCAGC
RNAcentral lists this non-coding RNA (159 nucleotides) under Drosophila ficusphila. Lineage: Eukaryota; Metazoa; Arthropoda; Insecta; Diptera; Drosophilidae. The record is from RNAcentral.